This is a non-coding RNA of Pimephales promelas (fathead minnow), 1113 nucleotides long. The record is from RefSeq and is a predicted model, not a curated record. Lineage: Eukaryota; Metazoa; Chordata; Actinopteri; Cypriniformes; Leuciscidae.
GUAGACAUGCAGGUAUGUGCGCUCUGCGCUGGCUGAUGUAACAUCAUUUUUAUUAUCCUUUACAUCUACUGCAGUCCGAUAGGGAGCUAGCCUACUAAAAUUAGUUUCCUGCCAUUGAUCAAGCCCCACCUAUUCAGCUGAUGGGCCAGAGGAGAAACCCGAUCACCUAACAAGAAAGAAGCAGAGGAGAGAGGAAGGAGAAAAUGAGAGAAAUGGAAACGUUGUGAUGAAUCACUUGACCUCUGAUCCAUAGGCAGUGAGGGAAGCGUGUGUAUGGGUUUCUGAGCCAUUCAACCAAAGCCAAACCUGGACGUCCAUGAAAGGAUAACACACGAUUUCCGGAGCAACUGGGUACAGCAUCUCUUGAGUAUAGACUGAUGAGAGACUGUGACCAGUACAUUCAUCUUGUGUUCUCAAAGACUACAGAGCUGAACCUGGGAAAUAGAGGAAACUGGAGUCUGAGGGAGACUGGGAGACGGAGGCCACAGCAGAGCAAGGAGGAACAGGGUAGAUGACAGGCCAGGGAUGAGCUUCAAACAGCGGCGUGUAUAUGUGUAUACGUAACAGGCCUGUGGAGUGUUUGUGUGUCAAGGACGUUAGCGGGGUGGACAGCUGAUGGACACCAGCGUGGAGGAGAUGUGAUAGGACAGAAGAACACGCGUGUGUUUAUCUGGUGGAGAGAGGCUCAUGGUGCUGAAUGCUGUCAUCAAUGGCUCUGAAACUUUUGUGGUUGAGCAGGACCUGCAAGGAAAGAUGAUGGGGGCAUUUGUUGGGGGGAAAAAAGGUUUCAGGGAUUUUACUCAAAUAUAAAGAUCUGAAAUGGUGUGAGCACUGAGGAUGAGGAGCCCAGAGCUGAAUCCUGGAAGUAGUGCCAUGGAUGAGUCCCUCCAUCUCUCCACCUGGCCUUACGAGACCCUCUUUCGCUCCACCUGCCCUUAUUGCCUCAGAUUGUGAAGCGCAGCGUAGCAACAAGCUCUGGCACGAAGGCACAGUCACCUGUGGUGAAUUCAGCAGAAUAAAGCUGCAGAAUGGGAACCGCUGAGUUGAGAUGGCAGUAGGGUUUGGGGUUCAGUGCCUGUAGUUUGAAUAAAGCAUUGUUUCAUGUGUUGUUGA